This 253-nucleotide ribosomal RNA is filed under the name uncultured bacterium. RNAcentral's name for it is "partial 16S ribosomal RNA". It matches the Rfam family "Bacterial small subunit ribosomal RNA", at positions 524 to 776 of the family's 1533-position model. The record is from RNAcentral.
UACGAAGGGUGCAAGCGUUGUUCGGAAUUAUUGGGCGUAAAGGGCAGGUAGGUGGUCCUAUUUGUCUGAGGUGAAAUCCCAGGGCUUAACCCUGGAAGUGCCUUAGAAACGGUAGGACUAGAGUGCUAGAGAGGUUUGUGGAAUUCCCAGUGUAGCGGUGAAAUGCGUAGAGAUUGGGAGGAACACCAGAAGCGAAGGCGACAAACUGGAUAGCAACUGACACUCAACUGCGAAAGCGUGGGGAUCAAACAGG